GAUGAACGCUGGCGGCGUGCCUAAUACAUGCAAGUCGAGCGAACAGAUGAGGAGCUUGCUCCUCUGACGUUAGCGGCGGACGGGUGAGUAACACGUGGAUAACCUACCUAUAAGGCUGGGAUAACUUCGGGAAACCGGAGCUAAUACCGGAUAAUAUAUUGAAUCGCAUGGUUCAAUAGUGAAAGACGGUUUUGCUGUCACUUAUAGAUGGAUCCGCGCCGCAUUAGCUAGUUGGUAAGGUAACGGCUUACCAAGGCAACGAUGCGUAGCCGACCUGAGAGGGUGAUCGGCCACACUGGAACUGAGACACGGUCCAGACUCCUACGGGAGGCAGCAGUAGGGAAUCUUCCGCAAUGGGCGAAAGCCUGACGGAGCAACGCCGCGUGAGUGAUGAAGGUCUUCGGAUCGUAAAACUCUGUUAUUAGGGAAGAACAAAUGUGUAAGUAACUAUGCACGUCUUGACGGUACCUAAUCAGAAAGCCACGGCUAACUACGUG
Molecule: ribosomal RNA, 497 nt
Filed under: uncultured bacterium
Lineage: Bacteria
Description: partial 16S ribosomal RNA
Rfam family: Bacterial small subunit ribosomal RNA
Source: RNAcentral